Molecule: ribosomal RNA, 440 nt
Filed under: uncultured bacterium
Lineage: Bacteria
Description: partial 16S ribosomal RNA
Rfam family: Bacterial small subunit ribosomal RNA
Source: RNAcentral
CCUACGGGAGGCAGCAGUGGGGAAUAUUGCACAAUGGGGGAAACCCUGAUGCAGCGACGCCGCGUGAGUGAAGAAGUACUUCGUUAUGUAAAGCUCUAUCAGCAGGGAAGAAAAUGACGGUACCUUAGUAAGAAGCCCCGGCUAACUACGGUCCAGCAGCCGCGGGAAUACGUAGGGGGCAAGCGUUAUCCGGAUUUACUGGGUGUAAAGGGAGCGUAGACGGCAGUGCAAGUCUGGAGUGAAAGGCGGGGGCUCAACCCCCGGACUGCUCUGGAAACUGUAGGGCUGGAGUGCAGGAGAGGCAGGCGGAAUUCCUGGUGUAGCGGUGAAAUGCGUAGAUAUUAGGAGGAACACCGGCGGCGAAGGCGGCUUACUGGACUGUGACUGACGUUGAGGCUCGAAAGCGUGGGGAGCAAACAGGAUUAGAUACCCCGGUAGUC